RNAcentral lists this ribosomal RNA (500 nucleotides) under uncultured bacterium. RNAcentral describes it as "partial 16S ribosomal RNA". It matches the Rfam family "Bacterial small subunit ribosomal RNA", at positions 30 to 523 of the family's 1533-position model. The record is from RNAcentral.
AUUGAACACUGGCGGAAUGCUUUACACAUGCAAGUCGAACGGCAGCACGGACUUCGGUCUGGUGGCGAGUGGCGAACGGGUGAGUAAUGUAUCGGAACGUGCCCAGUCGUGGGGGAUAACGUAGUGAAAAUUACGCUAAUACCGCAUACGAUCUAUGGAUGAAAGCGGGGGAUCGCAAGACCUCGCGCGAUUGGAGCGGCCGAUAUCAGAUUAGGUAGUUGGUGGGGUAAAGGCCCACCAAGCCAACGAUCUGUAGCUGGUCUGAGAGGACGACCAGCCACACUGGAACUGAGACACGGUCCAGACUCCUACGGGAGGCAGCAGUGGGGAAUAUUGGACAAUGGGCGAAAGCCUGAUUCAGCCAUUCCGCGUGCAGGAUGAAGGCCCUCGGGAUGUAAACUGCUUUUGUACAGAACGAAAAGGUUUCUACUAAUACUAGGAGCUCAUGACGGUACUGUAAGAAUAAGCACCGGCUAACUACGUGCCAGCCGCCGCAGUAA